This 1366-nucleotide long non-coding RNA is filed under the name Brachypodium distachyon (stiff brome). RNAcentral describes it as "long non-coding RNA (BDIS_LNC005843)". Lineage: Eukaryota; Viridiplantae; Streptophyta; Magnoliopsida; Poales; Poaceae. The record is from RNAcentral.
GAUCGGAGGGAGUAACAUUUAAUCGAAGUAAUAAAAAAUAACAACAUUUUCAUCAUACAUUCAAAUAUAUAUCAUGAUAGAUUCAAAUAAAACUAAUUUAGAGUUGCAAUUGUCAGUAGACUUUUCUAUAUAACACUCGGUCAAAGUUUAACUUUCUUGGCUUACGACAAAGUUAAGAAUUAUUUUUUUGCAUGGAUAGUAUACGCUUAGAGCGCGUUCUUACCAUUAUAGUGCCUUUAGUUGAUUAAUAUCGUUGUUGUUGAUACAGUUGCUCUUCUUUGAUGCUACACACAAAUGAGGGUGUACGAGUCAGGGUUACUUUUUCGAUUUCACACGGCAUGUAAAACGACAAUGCCAAUAAAAAAUGUCCUCUACGUAUAUAACUAUCUCGCUGUGUAUAAAAUCUUUCCUAUCUACUCAAUAUAGUUAGCUUUGGAUUCUAUCCAUGUAUCGGCCAAGACAUCCAAAUGGUCCAUCUUUUCCCGUGCCUCUUACGGGACUCAACAAGUAGUCCAUGUGAUUCAUUGUCCUUAUUCCUCUCUACAUAUUGUUUAAUUGUGAUAUUUAUAUAUUUAUUUGUCUAUUUUAGCCAUCAGAUCUAUGCGGGAUCGAUACAACUGCAAGGUGAAAUCCAGCAGCAUAUUAAGUUUGCUGCUAUACUAAGAUCUACACAAAAAAAGAUUACCACGUAUGAACUCACAGAAAAAAAAAACAAGCACAAUUCGAGAACAAGUCAUAGAUGAAUAUGAUGACGCCAACAGUGACAUCGGUAAUCUACUGUUGCCUGUAACAAAAUAAUAUUUAUUCUCAAUAGUUAAAUUGUAUUCUUAUUGUUUCCACUUUUACAUAAAAAUAAUAUGUAACCUUUAUUUUCAUUUAUAGGCUCCAACUAUCAUGCACAUUUUUCGUGGAGCCUGCUCAAUGUCAUGAGAAUGACGUUUAGGCUUAAUGUCCACAAACUUGAAUGUAAAUGUAUGCCGAAGAAUAAUUUAACAGCAUGGAUUAUGAAGGAUCUUCCACGAGGUCUUAUGACCUAAAACUUUCCGUAAAAAAAAACAUAUUCCAAAAGGUCAACUACAACAAUAUAUUUUUUUGGAAAAUCUACAUGUGAUGAAUUUGCUGCUCAGUAAAGUGCAUCCUCUCAAACUUCUAUGUAGUUGGUGAUUACAAUUGUGUGAAUACAUGUGUUAAGAGAGAGCCUUUGACACUACUCGGCAGCCAAACAAUAUCAAUAAUUGUCGAUUUAACUCUGCACAAAGACAUGCUUCUUUCACAGCAGAGUAGUUGUAUAAACAUCGUAACUAAAUGAAAAUGUUUUCCCUUAUUUUGUAGGUAUAAGUUGCGCAUUCCGAGGCUAAACAUCCGG